Molecule: ribosomal RNA, 534 nt
Filed under: uncultured bacterium
Lineage: Bacteria
Description: partial 16S ribosomal RNA
Rfam family: Bacterial small subunit ribosomal RNA
Source: RNAcentral
UGGGGAAUUUUGGACAAUGGGCGCAAGCCUGAUCCAGCAAUGCCGCGUGCAGGAUGGAGGCCUUCGGGUUGUAAACUGCUUUUGUACGGAACGAAAAGCCUCUCUCUAAUACAGGGGGGUGGUGACGGUACCGUAAGAAUAAGCACCGGCUAACUACGUGCCAGCAGCCGCGGUAAUACGUAGGGUGCAAGCGUUAAUCGGAAUUACUGGGCGUAAAGCGUGCGCAGGCGGUUUUGUAAGACAGUGGUGAAAUCCCCGGGCUCAACCUGGGAACUGCCAUUGUGACUGCAAGGCUGGAGUGCGGCAGAGGGGGGAUGGAAUUCCGCGUGUAGCAGUGAAAUGCGUAGAUAUGCGGAGGAACACCGAUGGCGAAGGCAAUCCCCUGGGCCUGCACUGACGCUCAUGCACGAAAGCGUGGGGAGCAAACAGGAUUAGAUACCCUGGUAGUCCACGCCCUAAAACGAUGUCAACUGGUUGUUGGGGAUUUAUUUCUUCAGUAACGAAGCUAACGCGUGAAGUUGACCGCCUGGGGGA